This 985-nucleotide ribosomal RNA is filed under the name Pseudomonas sp. YSA5_1F5. RNAcentral's name for it is "bacterial SSU rRNA". It matches the Rfam family "Bacterial small subunit ribosomal RNA", at positions 55 to 1063 of the family's 1533-position model. The record is from RNAcentral. Lineage: Bacteria; Pseudomonadati; Pseudomonadota; Gammaproteobacteria; Pseudomonadales; Pseudomonadaceae.
AUGAGUCGAGCGGAUGAGAAGAGCUUGCUCUUCAUUCAGCGGCGGACGGGUGAGUAAUACCUAGGAAUCUGCCUGGUAGUGGGGGACAACGUUUCGAAAGGAACGCUAAUACCGCAUACGUCCUACGGGAGAAAGCAGGGGACCUUCGGGCCUUGCGCUAUCAGAUGAGCCUAGGUCGGAUUAGCUAGUUGGUGAGGUAAUGGCUCACCAAGGCGACGAUCCGUAACUGGUCUGAGAGGAUGAUCAGUCACACUGGAACUGAGACACGGUCCAGACUCCUACGGGAGGCAGCAGUGGGGAAUAUUGGACAAUGGGCGAAAGCCUGAUCCAGCCAUGCCGCGUGUGUGAAGAAGGUCUUCGGAUUGUAAAGCACUUUAAGUUGGGAGGAAGGGUACUUACCUAAUACGUGAGUAUUUUGACGUUACCGACAGAAUAAGCACCGGCUAACUCUGUGCCAGCAGCCGCGGUAAUACAGAGGGUGCAAGCGUUAAUCGGAAUUACUGGGCGUAAAGCGCGCGUAGGUGGUUCGUUAAGUUGGAUGUGAAAUCCCCGGGCUCAACCUGGGAACUGCAUCCAAAACUGGCGAGCUAGAGUAGGGCAGAGGGUGGUGGAAUUUCCUGUGUAGCGGUGAAAUGCGUAGAUAUAGGAAGGAACACCAGUGGCGAAGGCGACCACCUGGGCUCAUACUGACACUGAGUGCGAAAGCGUGGGGAGCAAACAGGAUUAGAUACCCUGGUAGUCCACGCCGUAAACGAUGUCACUAGCCGUUGGAAUCCUUGAGAUUUUAGUGGCGCAGCUAACGCAUUAAGUUGACCGCCUGGGGAGUACGGCGCAGUUAAAACUCAAAUGAAUUGACGGGGCCCGCACAAGCGGUGGACAUGUGGUUUAAUUCACAACGCAAAACUUACCGCCUUGACAUGCAGAAACUUUCAAGGAUGGGCUUGAUCUGACUGCAGGCGUCGCUGCGGGAUCCUCGCUGGCCAGA